Molecule: ribosomal RNA, 253 nt
Filed under: Agathobaculum desmolans
Lineage: Bacteria; Bacillati; Bacillota; Clostridia; Eubacteriales; Butyricicoccaceae
Description: partial 16S ribosomal RNA
Rfam family: Bacterial small subunit ribosomal RNA
Source: RNAcentral
UACGUAGGGAGCAAGCGUUAUCCGGAUUUACUGGGUGUAAAGGGCGCGCAGGCGGGCCGGCGAGUUGGAAGUGAAAUCUAUGGGCUUAACCCAUAAACUGCUUUCAAAACUGCUGGUCUUGAGUGAUGGAGAGGCAGGCGGAAUUCCGUGUGUAGCGGUGAAAUGCGUAGAUAUACGGAGGAACACCAGUGGCGAAGGCGGCCUGCUGGACAUUAACUGACGCUGAGGCGCGAAAGCGUGGGGAGCAAACAGG